RNAcentral lists this unclassified non-coding RNA (349 nucleotides) under plant metagenome. Its description in RNAcentral is "partial contains 5.8S ribosomal RNA, internal transcribed spacer 2, and large subunit ribosomal RNA". The stretch from base 1 to 106 matches the Rfam family "5.8S ribosomal RNA", at positions 49 to 154 of the family's 154-position model. The record is from RNAcentral.
CAAGCUGCGAUAAGUAAUGUGAAUUGCAGAACUCAGUGAAUCAUCGAGUCUUUGAACGCACAUGGCGCCCCCUGGCACUCCGGGGGGCACGCCUGUCCGAGCGUCGUCCGACCACCCUUCAGGCCCCUGUCACCUGGCUUCCAGGUGCGCGACGGGGUCUGGCCUUGGGCCUACAUGCGCCCCCGCGUAGGGCGAGCCCGCAAGUCACCGACCGGUCGUCCCCGAGGGCCUCGAGCGCAGCGGCUGUCCCAUGCUCGAGGAGGUCCCCGCGGGACGCCCACCGGCGUACCCCCCGUCCCAGACGCACGUUUGACCUCGGAUCAGGCGGGGUUACCCGCUGAACUUAAGC